Molecule: non-coding RNA, 32 nt
Filed under: Homo sapiens (human)
Lineage: Eukaryota; Metazoa; Chordata; Mammalia; Primates; Hominidae
Source: RNAcentral
UGCACUUCCUGUCUCAUCCUUUAGGGACAUGC